GGGUCUGUCAUCUAACAGGAGAAGGUACAGGUUUCCGAAACCUGCGAUCACGGUUCGAGUCCGUGCAGGCCCACCA
Molecule: transfer RNA, 76 nt
Filed under: Candidatus Sulfopaludibacter sp. SbA4
Lineage: Bacteria; Pseudomonadati; Acidobacteriota; Terriglobia; Bryobacterales; Solibacteraceae
Description: tRNA-Arg
Rfam family: tRNA
About the family: Transfer RNA (tRNA) molecules are approximately 80 nucleotides in length.
Source: RNAcentral